GAUCAUGGCUCAGAUUGAACGCUAGCGGGAUGCCUUACACAUGCAAGUCGAACGGCAGCACGGACUUCGGUCUGGUGGCGAGUGGCGAACGGGUGAGUAAUGUAUCGGAACGUGCCCAGUAGCGGGGGAUAACUACGCGAAAGCGUAGCUAAUACCGCAUACGCCUACGGGGAAAGCAGGGAGUCGUAGAACCUUACGUCACUACUUGGUAGGCGGCCGGACGUAUCGGAGUUAGUCUAGUUGGUGGGGUAACGGGCGU
RNAcentral lists this ribosomal RNA (259 nucleotides) under uncultured bacterium. RNAcentral describes it as "partial 16S ribosomal RNA". It matches the Rfam family "Bacterial small subunit ribosomal RNA", at positions 15 to 266 of the family's 1533-position model. The record is from RNAcentral.